Molecule: ribosomal RNA, 495 nt
Filed under: uncultured bacterium
Lineage: Bacteria
Description: partial 16S ribosomal RNA
Rfam family: Bacterial small subunit ribosomal RNA
Source: RNAcentral
GACGAACGCUGGCGGCGUGCCUAAUACAUGCAAGUAGAACGCUGAAGGAGGAGCUUGCUUCUCUGGAUGAGUUGCGAACGGGUGAGUAACGCGUAGGUAACCUGCCUGGUAGCGGGGGAUAACUAUUGGAAACGAUAGCUAAUACCGCAUAAUAGUAGAUGUUGCAUGACAUUUGCUUAAAAGGUGCAAUUGCAUCACUACCAGAUGGACCUGCGUUGUAUUAGCUAGUUGGUGGGGUAACGGCUCACCAAGGCGACGAUACAUAGCCGACCCGAGAGGGUGAUCGGCCACACUGGGACUGAGACACGGCCCAGACUCCUACGGGAGGCAGCAGUAGGGAAUCUUCGGCAAUGGACGGAAGUCUGACCGAGCAACGCCGCGUGAGUGAAGAAGGGUUUCGGAUCGUAAAGCUCUGUUGUAAGAGAAGAACGAGUGUGAGAGUGGAAAGUUCACACUGUGACGGUAUCUUACCAGAAAGGGACGGCUAACUACGUG